UGUUACAAGGCAAGAUUCACAGUGGCUAAUCCAAGUCAGACACUGCUCUCGGGGUGAGCCACUCUUCGGGACCCCCGGUUUCAACAUGGCAGCCAACAGUCGCUCCCAGUUAGCCGCGACACUCGCAUAGGUCACCAGUCCCACCUCAAAAUGAACAAAUGCUGGCUUUGGUCUUCAAAUGCACGCUUCUGUUUCUCCAAAGCUUAGCUUUCUCAGAAAAGAAGUCCGUGGCUAUGCAACAACAUGCAGUUUGUUGUCUCAACUCGUCUCUUCAACUGUGUCAGAACGUACAUGCAUUUUAAGCUUACUGGAUCAGCUCUCAGGGGUGUUUGUCCUUCACCUCCUGUCCCCACUGAGGGUGACGAUCACUGUGCCACACGUUCCUCACCAGGAGGGCACACGCACUGCUCAGGGGAAGGCGUUUUUGACAUUCUGACUGCAGCCACUACAUAACUGCAUCUAAUAAAGUCGGUUAACUGGUAACUUUUAAUAAAGAGAUGCUUAAAUUGAAUUUGUUUCCAUUAGGAUUAAUUUUACUUUGAAAGCCUAUUUUAGAAAAUCAUAUUUGUACUUGAC
RNAcentral lists this long non-coding RNA (576 nucleotides) under Equus asinus (donkey). RNAcentral describes it as "lncRNA (ENSEASG00005035193.1)". The record is from RNAcentral. Lineage: Eukaryota; Metazoa; Chordata; Mammalia; Perissodactyla; Equidae.